ACACACACACACACACACACACACACACACACACACACACACACACACACACACACACACACACACACACACAGAGAAAGGGACAUGAGAAGAGUGGGGGGAGGGAGGGGCAGAAGGGAGAGUCAGGUCAUGUCAUGACACACACACACAGAAAGGGAAAUGAGAAGGGCGGGGGGAGGGAGCGGCAGAAGGGAGAGUCAGGUCAUGUCAUGACACACACACACAGAAAGGGAAAUGAGAAGGGCGGGGGGAGGGAGCAGCAGAAGGGAGAGUCAGGUCACAUCUUGACCUGAGUCAGGUCGUAUCAUGACCAAAGCCCUCAUCCGAGAUUCCUUUCUGCCCCUCCCUCCCCACACCAUUCACAUUCCCCUUUUGUGUGUAUUUACCUAGUUGUAUUUACCUACUAUACAUUUCAGCGUCUGACAAACGCAGUAUGAUAUUUCAGCACACUACAAUUAACAUCCGGACCUAAUUUAUGGCUAACAUACCACAUUACUAUAUAUGUUAUGUGAGGAUUUUACUGACUGAUGUUAAGCCUAAUCCAGUCAUCAUACCUAAGGUGUUAUACAGAAUCGGACGAGUGCGGGGUACUUGUCUAGCCCCUCCACCAACGCCACGAACAACCCCCAGACCUCUCCUUCCCUACCCCAAUAUCGCAAUAUCCCCCUCCUCGUUUCCCUCUUCACCCCCCUACUCACACCAUCGCCCUUCCCCAGCCCGAGGCUAUGACUUGCAGAGGCAGGGUAUAACUCAUUGACUGCCGAGCCGCACCCACGUGUUGUACAGUUAUUAUCAACGUGAAAUAUGUCUUGCCUCCAUGGAACUGUACCAUGCUCUUAGUUAAUAAUCAUAUCUAUACAUAUACACCUACAUAACAUUCUAAUAUAUAAUACAGUGAUGGGAGAAACAGGGAGGGACACAAGAGUGAUGAGGGAGGCGAGGAGCUAGGGGAGAGGAGGGAUGAUGAGAGCGAGAAGGGGGAGAAGUAGUUGUGGUGAGGAAUAGUUUGGGAGGGUGUUGGGGGGGGGGGGGGGGGGAACACUUUCCUUCGAAUGUGUCAACAUGACUCGUCGGGUUUGUGUUGUUUUUCACAAGUAAACUCCUCACAUAACACACACAGUAUUGUGGCAUGUUAGCCAUAAAUUAGGUCCAGAUGUUAAUUGUAGUGUGCUGAAAUAUCAUACUGAUCCAAUGAUUCGUUUAGGAGAUAUUUGAGAAAAACUGCAUUUAUCCACCGCUGAAAUGUAUAGUAGUUGUGAUUUACAGGAACGGAUCUAUGCUCGUGCUGUUCUGUCUUUCCAUCUACUUCCGUCUAAUUUGGCCUUAAAUGCACUUAUUGACUUAGCCUGCACCACUUCCCUCUCCAGCCCAUUCCAGACCCCCACACAUCUCUGCGGGAAGCUGUUCUUCUUGAUGUCUCUUCCACAAUUUCCUUUCCUCAACAGUUUUCCAUUUCCUCUUAAGUCUCUUCUCUUAUCAAAAGGUCAUCUCUAUCCAAUUUCUCCAGGCCAUUCAUCACCCUAUACACCGCUAUCAAAUCUCCUCUUUCUCUUUUAAUUUCCAAUGUCAGGAGGUUCAGCCUCUGCAGUCUUUCUUCAUAAGGCAGGCCGCUCAGACUAGUUGCCAUUUUUAUUGCAGCUCUCUGUAUCCUCUCCAGUUUUCUAGCGUGUUUCUGAAGUGAUGGCGACCAAGCCACUGAUGCAUAUUCUAGUCUAGGGCGUAUCAAGGUCACAAUUAAUUUCCUAACCAUGUCCUCAUCAAGGUAUGUUAACACCGCUCUGAUGUUCCUCAGCAGGUUGUAUGUCUCAGCUGAUAUUUUACUCACAUGUCUUUCUGGAGACAAGUUCUCUGUGUGUGUGUGUGUGUGUGUGUGUGUGUGUGUGUGUGUGUGUGUGUGUGUGUGUGACAAGUCAGGACAUGACCUGACCCAAAGCCCUGAUCUGACUCCUUUCUGCCCCAUCCUCCCCCACAUCCUUCUCAUUUCACCUUCUGUGUGCGUGUGACAGGUAUGGACAUGACCUGACUUGACUUCUUUCUGACCCUACCUCCCCACACCCUUCUCCUUGUUUUCAUCCUCUCUAUCUCACACUUCCUCUUGAGUCGGGGGCUUGCAUGGUAUUGAGGCUGUGCCGAGUUGAACCAAACGCGACAGGGAGGAGGCGGCUCUCUCUCUCUCUCUCUCUCUCUCUCUCUCUCUCUCUCUCUCUCUCUCUCUCUCUCUCUCUAGCCAUAGCCACAAUGUUUGGAGGAAAA
This is a long non-coding RNA of Eriocheir sinensis (Chinese mitten crab), 2253 nucleotides long. RefSeq lists it as uncharacterized. The record is from RefSeq and is a predicted model, not a curated record. NCBI's taxonomy places the organism in Eukaryota, Metazoa, Arthropoda, Malacostraca, Decapoda, Varunidae. The transcript is spliced from 2 exons.